GUAUUGGUAGUUCAGGAGUAGAAUUUUUGCCUUCUGUGUGGGAGACCCAGGUUUGAUUCCUAGCCAGUGCA
This 71-nucleotide transfer RNA is filed under the name Loxodonta africana (African savanna elephant). It matches the Rfam family "tRNA". From Rfam's summary of the family: Transfer RNA (tRNA) molecules are approximately 80 nucleotides in length. Their secondary structure includes four short double-helical elements and three loops (D, anti-codon, and T loops). Further hydrogen bonds mediate the characteristic L-shaped molecular structure. tRNAs have two regions of fundamental functional importance: the anti-codon, which is responsible for specific mRNA codon recognition, and the 3' end, to which the tRNAs corresponding amino acid is attached (by aminoacyl-tRNA synthetases). tRNAs cope with the degeneracy of the genetic code in two manners: having more than one tRNA (with a specific anti-codon) for a particular amino acid; and 'wobble' base-pairing, i.e. permitting non-standard base-pairing at the 3rd anti-codon position. The record is from Rfam by way of RNAcentral. Lineage: Eukaryota; Metazoa; Chordata; Mammalia; Proboscidea; Elephantidae.